GAGUUUGAUCGUGGCUCAGAUUGAACGCUGGCGGCAUGCCUUACACAUGCAAGUCGAACGGCAGCAUGAUCUAGCUUGCUAGAUUGAUGGCGAGUGGCGAACGGGUGAGUAAUACAUCGGAACGUGCCCUGUAGUGGGGGAUAACUAGUCGAAAGAUUAGCUAAUACCGCAUACGACCUGAGGGUGAAAGUGGGGGACCGCAAGGCCUCAUGCUAUAGGAGCGGCCGAUGUCUGAUUAGCUAGUUGGUGGGGUAAAGGCCCACCAAGGCGACGAUCAGUAGCUGGUCUGAGAGGACGAUCAGCCACACUGGGACUGAGACACGGCCCAGACUCCUACGGGAGGCAGCAGUGGGGAAUUUGGACAAUGGGCGAAAGCCUGAUCCAGCAAUGCCGCGUGUGUGAAGAAGGCCUCGG
This 414-nucleotide ribosomal RNA is filed under the name uncultured microorganism. Its description in RNAcentral is "bacterial SSU rRNA". It matches the Rfam family "Bacterial small subunit ribosomal RNA", at positions 9 to 420 of the family's 1533-position model. The record is from RNAcentral.